RNAcentral lists this ribosomal RNA (163 nucleotides) under Tiquilia hispidissima. RNAcentral's name for it is "5.8S ribosomal RNA". It matches the Rfam family "5.8S ribosomal RNA". From Rfam's summary of the family: 5.8S ribosomal RNA (5.8S rRNA) is a component of the large subunit of the eukaryotic ribosome. It is transcribed by RNA polymerase I as part of the 45S precursor that also contains 18S and 28S rRNA. Functionally, it is thought that 5.8S rRNA may be involved in ribosome translocation. The record is from RNAcentral. Lineage: Eukaryota; Viridiplantae; Streptophyta; Magnoliopsida; Boraginales; Ehretiaceae.
CAACGACUCUCGGCAACGGAUAUCUCGGCUCUCGCAUCGAUGAAGAACGUAGCGAAAUGCGAUACUUGGUGUGAAUUGCAGAAUCCCGUGAACCAUCGGGUCUUUGAACGCAAGUUGCGCCCGAAGCCGUCAGGCCGAGGGCACGUCUGCCUGGGCGUCACGC